AUCCAUGGUAAGUGCUUGGCUGAUUUAUGUGGGGCAUUGCAUUGUGAGGUCGUGAUUUAUAAGGUUUACACCUAGACCUCUAAAACCAAGUGUAAUCCGGCAGCUUCUGGGAGAAAUGGUCACCUAUGUUAGUUUGCUCUUCAGUGUUUUUCCCUUUUGGUGCACAAGCACUCUUGCAUUGUUCACUAAUGCUAGAUAUUAAAACCCAAUCCACGUCCACAAUUUAUUUAGUGUCUUGCAGACAGAUGGGUUUCCCUUAAAUGGUUGUCUCUCAGCAAACCGCCUUCAUGAAUUGUUUCUGUGCCAAUGUUGUGAUGCCCAAACCUGCUCAAGGAAACAGAAACCUUUCAUUAGAGGUGGCAGGAUUAAACUGUUCCAAUCACUGUGUUGUAGUAAUGCGACUGAUUGGAUGAGGUUGGAGGAUGUACUACAAGUACUGACGUUAGCUUAUCCUCCAAAUAGAUUCUAUUGGCUGCUUGACGGGGGAGGAAUGUAGAGAAUUCUGGUUGGGUGUAACUGACUCUUCCCGGUGCUGAGUUGUUGAUGAAUUGAGUGAACACCUGGUGAAAGAUGCUAUUUGAUCAUCAUUAUGCUAGAGAAAGUAAACUUUUGAUUCAUCAAGCUUUUAUUGUAAUAUUAUGUUCUUUUUUUGUAAUGUUGCCUUUCAUUUUCUUUUUCGUAUUAGUGUAUUUUCAUUUUUUUUUGUUGAAGGUGUUAUUAUCGUCAUCCUUUUUCUAAAAGGUCCUUCCUUCUAUUGACUUUUUUAUGCUCUUCGCAAGUGAAUGAACGUUUGUCUUA
This is a long non-coding RNA of Prosopis cineraria, 798 nucleotides long. RefSeq lists it as uncharacterized. Lineage: Eukaryota; Viridiplantae; Streptophyta; Magnoliopsida; Fabales; Fabaceae. The transcript has 3 exons. The record is from RefSeq and is a predicted model, not a curated record.